RNA transcript from Choloepus didactylus (southern two-toed sloth), 2927 nucleotides. It is a transcript of the gene named DnaJ heat shock protein family (Hsp40) member C5, with no coding region annotated. The record is from RefSeq and is a predicted model, not a curated record. The transcript has 6 exons. Lineage: Eukaryota; Metazoa; Chordata; Mammalia; Pilosa; Megalonychidae.
GCUGGUGCGGGUGCGUGCGUGAGCGUGCGCGUCCCCGCGGUCUCUGUCGGUGUCGCUCCCGCGCCGCCCUCCGCCGCCGCCGCCGCAGUCCGGGUCCCCGAGGCGCAGCCCUCGCCGAGGAGCGCGUCGGCCGCUGCCCACCUGCGCCGCGGAGCGAGGAGCGAGGAGCGGGGCCGCGGGCCGGGGGCGGGAGCGCUGCAGAUUAGUCUAACAUGGCAGACCAGAGGCAGCGCUCACUGUCUACCUCCGGGGAAUCACUGUACCACGUGCUUGGGCUGGACAAGAACGCAACCUCAGACGACAUUAAGAAGUCCUAUCGGAAACUUGCCUUGAAAUACCACCCCGACAAGAACCCCGACAACCCUGAGGCUGCAGACAAGUUCAAGGAGAUCAACAACGCCCACGCCAUCCUGACCGAUGCCACCAAGAGGAACAUCUACGACAAGUACGGCUCCCUGGGCCUCUACGUGGCGGAGCAGUUCGGGGAGGAGAACGUGAACACUUACUUCGUGCUUUCCAGUUGGUGGGCAAAGGCCCUCUUUGUGUUCUGCGGGCUCCUGACCUGCUGCUACUGCUGCUGCUGUCUGUGCUGCUGCUUCAACUGCUGCUGUGGCAAGUGCAAGCCCAAGCCCCCCGAGGGCGAGGAGACCACCUUCUACGUGUCCCCGGAGGACCUGGAGGCCCAGCUGCAGUCCGACGAGAGGGGAGGGCACUGACUCUGUGCUGGGAGUGUUUGUGUGCAGCUGGGCCUGUUGAGGUGUGAACGUGGACACGGAGAGGCCGCCGACACGCCCAUCGUGAUCCAGCCGGCGUCCGCCACAGAGACCACCCAGCUCACGGCUGACUCCCACCCCAGCUACCACACCGACGGGUUCAACUAGCUCAGCAGCGCCGCGGCUGGAGGGACGUGUCAGCCCGGCCGCCGCAGCCUUGGCGUCACGGACUGUGGCGGUGGCGACGGGAGGCGCCGUUCCGGCCAUGAGGACCCCGUGUGCCCCCGCCCUGCGUGCCGCCGCCUGCAGAGUGCGGCCGCCUGCAGUAUUUAAAGCCGUUCCGCUACCGUCUCCUUUUCCCUUCCGUGUUUCAGUAGCAUGUACGGGGUCACGUUUCAUGUCGUCUGUGUAGUGGUUGUCCCACGGCCCUGGCCCUGACGGGACAGGCUCAGCACGUGUGGGCGCCGUGGCCCGGGCUCCCGGCUGUGCUGGGGCAGUGCUGCCCCUCCCCAUGCCCACCCGGGCCUCGGAGCCCCUGCAGAGGACGGGGGUCAGGACAGUGCUCGGGGACAGCCCCGCCCAGCGUCCAGCGUCGUGCGGACCUGGGACAGUGUGUGCCGCCGCCCCUACCCAUGCGUUCCCGUCGGGUGCCAGCCGCACAGGAUCUGUUCGCCUCUGUUUCCUUCACCUUGUGGUAGGGUUUUUCUGGGGGAAAAUGUGUUGUGGAAAGUGUAGGAAGAUGCCCUUUUGAUACUGGAACCAAGCCCUCUGUACAGUGCUCUCGCUGUAGGUUCCCAGGUUAUGACCGGAAGCUUCUGUCCCUGCAGGUGUGUGCCGUGUCCCUCCCUGCGUUAACCUGCGCUCCCCCCGGCCCUGGGCUGGGACCACAUUCCCACAGCCCCCCUGCUGUCCUCUGCAUCCUCCACAUUCCUUCAGGUCUGCAUGUCCUUCUUGCAAUCCUUCCUGGGUCUUCCAGGCCCACAAAUGGCAGAACCAGCCCAGACCCAUCUAAAUGGGUCGAGAUUUCAGGGUUGCUGAUGGGGAGCCUCUUUAGAAGUCUCUGGAAAGAAAGCCUCAGGGGUGACCUAGUACUUACUCAUGGGCUGCCCCCAGAACCCCUUUUUCAUGCUUCCCAGAUAUUCCACGCACCCUCUUUCCUUUGCCUUCCCCUCUUGGUGGCCAUCGACGUUCCUGGAGGACGGACCACUGCGUCCUCCUGCCCUGUGCCCUUGGGGACCAGCCACCAGCUCGCAGAGCCCCUCAGUCCCAGAGGUGGUGGGGUGCCCUGCCAGGCGGGAGCCGAGGACGUGGGCAGCGGGUUCUGCGCUGCUCGCUGGGCCUGGCCUCUGCUGCAUGGACCUGACGGCUGUCGCUUGAGAGGACGGGGGCCAGGGGGGUGCACCCCAGAAAGCGGUCCCAGAGCCCAGUCUUCCCGCACGCAUCACCCUGCCCUUCCCGUCCUGCCAGGGCCCAGACGAGGGUCGGUUCUGUUGACCAGGAAGUGGCCGGAAGGCACGGGGGUUGGGUGGGAAGGAGCUGCUGGGUCCAGCCUGGCGCUGGCUGGAGCCCGCCGUGCUGUGAGCAGUGCCGGUUCAAUUGUGGUGACUCCAGGCUGGUCCUCGGGCAUCUUGCUUGUCCCAUUCUGUUGUUUCUCGCUAUUAAGAUGAUCACGAAGGCCCUCUGUGAGCGGGAGACGUGCUGGGAUCCUGGAGACAAUCUUACUUGGUGGGUCCUGGAGGCGGAUGGGCAGCACCUUGUGCUGACUCAGAAACACAGCAGAGAAUUGGGCUCGAGAUGCUGUGAUGAACCUUUGUAGUUUUUCUGGAUAUAACAAAUGAGUAGAAUGGCCAAAAACCACAUUCAGAACUCAGACUCGUGCUCCCCUUGAGGUAGAAACCUCACACUCACCAGUGCUGUGGUGCUUUGGCAGUGGGGCUGGGGGCCUGGCAGCUCGGCCGGGCGGGGAGGGCCAGGGCCCACCUGGUGCCCUCCGUCCGGCGAGAGCUUUUAGCCACCAGCAGCUCGAAGGCCCUUUUCACGUGGGGCAAAGUGAGUCACUCGCCAGGCUUGUUUUCCAGUGACAGAAUCGCACAGGUCAUUACGGAGAACUGGAAGGAGGGUGGCGUGGUAGGAGGGGCCACGGCGCCAGGUUUGGGGAGCCCAGUGUCUUCUCUGUAGAAUUUGUAAAAACUAAAUAAAUGAUGAUGAUCAUGA